RNAcentral lists this transfer RNA (72 nucleotides) under Camelus bactrianus (Bactrian camel). It matches the Rfam family "tRNA". From Rfam's summary of the family: Transfer RNA (tRNA) molecules are approximately 80 nucleotides in length. Lineage: Eukaryota; Metazoa; Chordata; Mammalia; Artiodactyla; Camelidae. RNAcentral also lists the same sequence under 3 other names. The record is from Rfam by way of RNAcentral.
UGGGGUACAGCUCAAUGGUACAGUGUGUGCUUAGCAUGCAUGAGGUUCUGGGUUCAAUCCCCAGUACCUCUA